UGGCGGACGGGUGAGUAUCGCGUAGGAACGUGUCGUGAGGUGGGGGACAACCCUGGGAAACUGGGGCUAAUACCGCAUAGGGACUGAGGUCCAAAGCCGUGAGGCGCCUUAUGAGCGGCCUGCGUCCGAUUAGGUAGUUGGUGGGGUAAAGGCCUACCAAGCCUGCGAUCGGUAGCUGGUCUGAGAGGACGAUCAGCCACACUGGGACUGAGACACGGCCCAG
RNAcentral lists this ribosomal RNA (223 nucleotides) under uncultured bacterium. RNAcentral's name for it is "partial 16S ribosomal RNA". It matches the Rfam family "Bacterial small subunit ribosomal RNA", at positions 96 to 334 of the family's 1533-position model. The record is from RNAcentral.